CAUACUUUAUAUAACCCACGUUUGGGUUUUGCAAUUAAGAAAGUCCAGCGUUCACAACGUAGCAAGUAAUAGUAGUUGUUUGUUUUUGUACGUAGAGCUAACCGUUCGUGCCUGCUUAAGAUCGAGUAUUGCAUCGACGGUUCUAUGUUAAUUAACACACGUUUCGCCUUGUUGUGUACGUCAAGUGUACCAAAUAGCGAGCCUCUUCAGACAAAAAAUGAUAAAGUGAAACCGUGACACAUUCGAGCGAUUCACGGGUUAGGCGAACUUCUCGAUACGCUCCAGUUCAUCAGGUUAUUGGUUUAUUUUCGUAAUGUUCCACGAGGAAAGUAAAAAUAAAUGAGACGUAUAAUCUCAACUGAUUUCAGUUUGAGGUAUUUCAAAUUAGUUCAAAUAUCUUCUUUUAUAUUUGUGAAUAGCAAGUUUAGAUAUACUACACUUUCAUGUAAGUUAUUAUUUAGAUUAUCAUAAUUAACAAAUAACAUAUACAAUUAUAAAAACAAAUAUUUGAAACAGUCUCAAAUAUUUCGAACUGAAAUUAGUUUAGAUUAUACGUCUGAUUUAUUUUUGCUUCCCUUAUGAUAUGUGUUUGUUUCUUUCCCUGUUGAUUAGUAUAGUAUUUACGAGUUCAAAAUUAUAAAGCGUACGUUAGGGUUACAGAACAGUAUCUCCGUUUUUUCGCGUUGAUGUUUUCAGUAUCGCUCACUUCUUUGACGUCUCUACCCGGUAUAGUUCCGCUUCCCCGUUUAAUAAGCUCCAGUGAGUGACACUAGUUGGAGCAGUAAGUUUCACCCUUUCCACCCUCCGGUCUAUCAGUAUUCCCCUUUCUAUCAACAUGUUAUAUAUGGGAUGUGGAACUAGAGUAUAUGGCAGAGGGAGGACGAGGAGUAUAGUUGUCUUUACUAUCGAGAUGAAAGUCCUUCCGCAAAAACGCGCUUGACGUUUGUGCAAAACGCCCGGCCCUCCUACGCCCCAGACGAUCUCAACGAAAAUCGAUCUGGUCCCCGACUCGACCCCAGGGGCCGUUGAUCCCGGUACCGGGCCUAACGUUGCUUUUGAGGCCGGGUAGAAGAUGCACCUUUUUAUAACUGGGCCCUACGUCGCGUUCAAAACCAGUCGGGUUACGUUGAGCGAGCGGGUCCUCUUGUACUCUCGCUCCUGGUCCCAACCCUGACACAGGGCAGCGAGCGACGGGGGGAGACGAGCGAGCUACGUAGCGAACCGGCAACGCCUUCCCCGCGUGGCGGCGGGGGCCGGGUCCAGCGGAGGAGGUCAGAGGUCUCCAAGGUCAGGAGGCGGAGCCCCCUGGCAGCCGGCCGCUGGACCGCGGCGGGCUAAAGACGACCAGCCUCUUGGUGAGGACGACGACUAAUGAGGAGCAACAGCCUCAACAUACCUUCGUCCUCUGGUAGUUUAGCCGGUUGACGUAUUUAAGAACGAUGACUUCUCUUUUGACGUCUUCUCUGGUGGUUUACAACCUAGAACUAACGGCGACCAGCCUCUUCUUGAGGACCAGGACUAACGAGUAGCCGCGAAGACGUCGAGAGGAGCUGAUCGGUUGGACCAUUACAAAACAAAAUCCUUGUUAUAUCCUUCUUGUUGACUGAUAUACCAAAUGGUUAACAAACGGUGACUAAAGUGUAAAAUCCAGAUUUCUACUUAUAUAAAAUAGAUAAUUAUUAGAGUUGUGACUUCGUUUAUUCUUUACGUUUAGAGUUUGGAUUAUUCGAGGAUGUUGGCUCGAAAGAUACGGUAAUGUUGUCGAAAAGAAACCAUCAAAAAAAAACUGGAUUGUAAAAACGGGGAGGUUAGGAACGAUGUGGUGACAUGAUAUGAUAUAUAUUUGACUUUAAUAAAGAUUUACAUCUUUAUCAUAGCAGUUGUGUCCGGGUAAAUCCACCGAAUGUCGGUAGGGCUCAUUAGUUUAUAUUGCACGGGGGAACGUGGGUUGCUAUAUAAUAUGCUUAAAGAAUGUGUGAUAGUGAUAAGAGAGAGAGGUGCCGACAAAUGCAAUUAAGAUUUGUUUCCCGGGAACGACGAGUUUGACUUUCUUUGACACAAAGAACAGUGAACACAGGUUUCAGUUGAUGUUAUGUUGACAUGAAGAACGGUGUUAGUAACAACGUUUCGUCCCGUUUCGCCGAACUCAAUCCGCAUGACAAGAGGAGAUAGAAUCUCGUAGAGAUCGUCUGUGGCGUAAAGGCCGUUUUGACAUUUUAUUGACGGCAAAACGGCAAAGCCCGGCUUUUUUGCGACGGUCUGGUCUAUGGCAUUUUCACUGGCCGGACGUUUUUUUAAACUCCCCGCGCCGUUAAAGGGGGAGGCUUUGACAGUUUUUCCGUAAACGCACCAACCGGGCUUCCGCGGGAGAUAGGGAUCUAGCUAAACCGCCCUCUCUGUAAAGUGGCGCCGUCAAGGCCGAAAGGGGGAGGCAGCGGCCGCGUUUAGAAGUGGAGGGGCGAGGCCGUCUGGAGUGGCGCCGGAGGUCACUCCGGUACCUGUGGGGGCUGAGGUGCGAGUAGUGACACCUUCAUCCCAAUCGGUUUAGCUGCCGCCCGCCGCGGCGCCACCUAGAGGGGUGAUCACUACGACACCCGCGCAGGCUUCGAAGGAGGCCGCAACAAGGAGCGUUCGCCGACUCGUUGCAGUAGCACGUCCCUCCGUGCGGGCGAGGGCGGCGGUGGUAUCGGCGGGGCUUCUCCCCACGAGCGUGAUGUCGAGUGCGACGGCGAACGGGAUGGCAGCAGUCAUUGUAACCACUAUGGCUCGGCUGCGUCGGACACUCCUUGCAGCACCGUUUUGCGUUCGCCCGCGGACGUUGGUUCUUCCGGGGACGCUCAAGAUGCGAGCGGGGGACGGCGGCGGGGUGGCCACAAGCUACUUUACGGGCGUUCCAUGCAGGCGGGGGUGGUCAAAACUAACAGCGGCAAGCCCAAAAUCGAGUUAUUAAACCCCUGAUACGCUGAGAAACAUCGAGGCUGAUACGCCGAGAGGAACUCCAUUUGCGUCACUUGUAACUCUUACGUGGGGAGCUUCUAAUACAUAUGCUGUUCUACCUGCCGCCCCAUGUGCCACCGCCGCUACUUCUCCUACUCAACGUUCUCUAACUUCCCCUCCAGAAGCUCCGUAGCGUUUGCCGUUGUAUAUCGUUUUCCAGCUUCUCGAUAUGGGUUUAUCUCCUACUCCACGACUAGGCUCGAACCCUCCGGCAGAGGGAGCUACGGUAGGUGCCGUGGCUGGUUUGGCCCUUCUCCAUAACCGUUUCCUAUCUUCUGUUCAAGAAGGCCAACUACGGUUCCUUACAACUCGACUGUGGUGCGUGGAUAUCUGGUGAGGUUCCUCCAACCCUACACUAGUUCCGCCGCCAAUCGACCACCACACCUACGAACCUCGUUCACAUGUUACGUGGAGGUCCACCGUGAUUACUUCGGCUAACCCUAUUUUAACGUCGGCGCUCCAUAUCCCUGUACGGCCGUAGGUCCCCGUUCGGGAAACGUAAGCUCGUAACAACUCGUAACGAAUUCUUUUCGCUCUUUACCUUCCACUCCCUAUUUCUUCGUGGUGGCUUCUCUCCAUGGAAGUGGAACAUCCUACUACUUCUUCUACUACUUCCUCCCUCUUUGUUCCAAUCCGGCCUACCGUUGUUCUUCCGGUUCCUCUUAUACUUCUUCCUCAGGCUGCGUAGUUCAAACUCUCUGUUCUAUCUAGUAUACCACGUGAGUUUACUCAACUACCAAUGGUACUGAUAUCUUCGUUUUUUUUCUCAACCGUUACUUCUCCAGAGUUCUCUUUCUCCUCUUCACUUGGAUUAGUUCCUCCUCUUCAACACGUUCCGUCGGCACCUUCUCCGCCUAUCCAACGCGUUCCGGCGUUAACUCCUCUUUUCUCGGGUUCGGCUCCUUUGGUUCCGAGAACGGUUCGAGUAACGGUCCUCUUGUUUUAGUACUGGUACUUGGCAUUACUCUACCUACGCGAUUGGAACCUCGCCGUACUAAACUACUCUUUCCCCUAGAACCUCGCUUCUUCCUACCGAAGGUUGCCACCACAACCACGACCACCACAACUACCACGAACUACCAACAAGUAGUUCCAAAGUGGUGAAAUAACAACAACAAAACUACGUUUUUACAAGUUAAGCCAAGGGAUCUACGAAUUUUGAUAUAAUAAACAAUAAAAAUACACUCUUGAUAUAUACAACUUAAAGGCUUGAUAAGAACAAUUAACAGCCUUAAAGAAAACUUAACACGUUAAGACAAAAACGCCAAACGUCCAGGUAAGAACGGACGUCGUCUUGUUUGUGGCGUUACGGCUUGAUAAGAACAAUUAACAGUCUUAAAGAAAACUUAACACGUUAAGACAAAACGUCAAGCCGUAACACCACAGACAAAACGGCGCCCGUUUUUAUUUGGACGUUUGGACAAACAGCGCGGGGAGUAGCAUCCAAACGCCCGACCGCCUUACGCCACACCCGAUUUCUACGAGAAUAGGGCCGUUUCGUGCAUGGAAUGGUUAAGGUUCGACACCUUCCUUGUAAAGAGAGAGCAACUGAGGGAUUUUAUAUAUGCUCAACAUGUUACAAUAAAUUAGUAGUGUAAUAACAGGGGGAUCACGAUAAUUGUCCCGUGUAAUAAGAGACAGGGUUCAGGGUUGUUGGCAAUCGCACCGGGUCUAGCUGACGGCGGUGGCGAUCAGAAAGACGGUAUAAAGAAAGAAAUAAACUCUUUAAGUAUCAGUUUGAUGAGUAUCAGUAUCGGUUACCUUUACCGUUGGUCGAAGAAAGACCUAUGAUCAUGUAGUAAUUGUUGCUUUUUUAUUAUUCUAACCCUACGUUGGUCUACAAUUUCUUAAACCCAAGUAGAGAUGAACCCGCCAUCGGAAGAGGACGGUUCUCUUAGUUUAUGAAGUUGUGUUCUUUUUAUAUCCUUUGUCGAUCUAUAUCCUUUUUUUUGUUCUCUCACCUGAAAAGGGUUACUAAGGGAUGUAUUUUGGUAUGGUAGCCGUUAGUGAUUGUAGUCCUAGAGUAGGGGUCGAACCUAACAGUGCUUAGUCCCGCACUGAAGGGGCCUUUGGUCGAUCAGCCGGCUCGCCACACCAAAGAAGAAUAGAGCAACUCCAUUCGCUAGAACGUACAAUUUAAGAAGACGGCGCGACUUUAACUUUACGAGGUUUAACCCAGUAAGAAUUCUUUGCAAAAAAACUUGAGGGAGGUUAGGCUUUAAGCACAGCGGUCGAAUCAUCCUUAAACAUGACUGGUUAACAACAAAGAUGCUGUGAAUUUAGCAAUCUCGAACAGAUGACAAUGAAACGCAGGAAACG
RNAcentral lists this ribosomal RNA (5316 nucleotides) under Triticum aestivum (bread wheat). Its description in RNAcentral is "partial small subunit ribosomal RNA". Lineage: Eukaryota; Viridiplantae; Streptophyta; Magnoliopsida; Poales; Poaceae. The record is from RNAcentral.